AUAACCGGUGGUGUGCAAAAGUAAUUCUCGAAUUUAUUCCGUCCCAAAUUUCACUUACUCACAGACUCCUUCUGUUCUGUUCUACUUCCUCCUCCUUCCGUCGUUGUCGGUGGUGACGUUCCUCUUCUGCUCUUGAUCUCGUUGUUCUGCUCGUGUAAAAUAAAAUAGAUGGGUGGUGCAUUUUGGGGGACGCGGGUGAUGGAGGUAGUGAAGAAGCAUGAUUCUGGAGGACUUGUUUGGAAGAGAAUCAAGCUCACCACCACCCGUAAAGCCAAUGCCAAGAAGCGUCUUCUCCGUGUGUGGCAGAACGAAGCCGUCCUCAAGGCAUGUUCUGAACCAUCUUCUUCAGUAAGUUCUUCUGCCAGUGCAAACAAUGUUUGCAAAGAGUGAUUUAAGUUGAAGGGUGUCCACCUGAACGUUGUUCCAUCAGUAAUUUUGGUUCCCAAUUCUAUAUUAGUUUUUGCUCAGACAGUUGAAAAUUUUGUAGCAAGAUGUUCAAUUAGCCACUGGUUUCCACUUUCUAACAAAAACUACUUUGUAAGUUGUAACCUUUUUAGGGUGUAUAAGCUGCAAAUCCAUUACAGCUUUUCAGAGCUUGAACCUA
Trifolium pratense (red clover) is the source of this 604-nucleotide long non-coding RNA. RefSeq lists it as uncharacterized. NCBI's taxonomy places the organism in Eukaryota, Viridiplantae, Streptophyta, Magnoliopsida, Fabales, Fabaceae. The record is from RefSeq and is a predicted model, not a curated record. The transcript is spliced from 3 exons.